Molecule: ribosomal RNA, 331 nt
Filed under: Sphingomonas sp.
Lineage: Bacteria; Pseudomonadati; Pseudomonadota; Alphaproteobacteria; Sphingomonadales; Sphingomonadaceae
Description: bacterial SSU rRNA
Rfam family: Bacterial small subunit ribosomal RNA
Source: RNAcentral
AGUGGCGCACGGGUGCGUAACGCGUGGGAAUCUGCCCYUSGGUUCGGAAUAACAGUUGGAAACGACUGCUAAUACCGGAUGAUGACGWAAGUCCAAAGAUUUAUCGCCCAGGGAUGAGCCCGCGUAGGAUUAGGUAGUUGGUGUGGUAAARGCGCACCAAGSCGACGAUCCUUAGCUGGUCUGAGAGGAUGAUCAGCCACACUGGGACUGAGACACGGCCCAGACUCCUACGGGAGGCAGCAGUGGGGAAUAUUGGACAAUGGGCGAAAGCCUGAUCCAGCAAUGCCGCGUGAGUGAUGAAGGCCUUAGGGUUGUAAAGCUCUUUUACCCG